UUUCAGGUACUGGAUUUCUGACUCUUUGACCCGCAACAAGACCUAUAAGAAGAGGGAAAAUGAGGACUGACUCUCAGGAACCAGCCUUCUCUGGAAUCCUCUUGCUUCAGCUUCCUAAGCAGUUGGGAGUACAUGUGCUUGCCACUGCAGAAUGAGCUGUUGUGAUUGAAAACAAACAUCCUGGACUCCGAGAAGUUAAGUCAUAAUAGAAUCUGAGAACAGCAGGAUUCCUGUAGCCCUGAAGAUCCUCAUGGCAUCUAGAGGGACCCCUGUUUCUGCCUGUGGACCUCAGGGUACUUGUCAGCUAACCAAUGACUUUGGGCCUUCCCAUAGCUUUCAAAAGUUAGCUUGAAGCUUUCUUUUCUUGUAGCUGCUACAGAGCUAGAGAUGAACCCAGAGUUUUGCAUGUAAGCAGGCAUUCUUCUAUUGAACUGUACCCUUCUGGCCUUUUCUUAAAAUCUGGUCCCUCAAUGACUCUAAGAUAAAGAGCUUUAGUAUGACCCAGGAGCUCCUGAAUAAGGCAGUGCCUUGCUUCUUACAGUACCUCUAACUCAUAGGCAUCCUUGCCCUGUGUGAGAGGCAACCCAGUGGACUCCCCACCACCGUCUCCAGUCAGUAGUGUCCGCAACCGUGUGAUCUCCGCAGCCAGGCGGUUAUUCAGCUCCUGGGGGACAACAGCACAACACAACAGUGACCAUCCCCACACACAGUUGCAUAAGACACUAGAGAAGGUCACUUCUUAACCAGUAGCGUACAGAGGCCUAAGAAUGGAGCCCCCAAGCCUUGUGCAUGUUCAGUGCUAUGUUUAAGGUAGACAUUUAAGGAUACAUAAAAGCUGUUCAUAUAGGUUGUGAGGCUAUGUGAGGACUUAUAACCUGUCAGAAAUUGGUUCUGAGACCUCUAUUAGGCACCAAAUUCUGUGGAUGUUCAAGUCCCAUUACAAAUGGCAUACAAUAUCUGCAUAAUCCUCCCAUAUACAAUAGGCUGUCUCUACAUUAUGUCUAAUACCCAGUACCAUCCACACAAUUCCUAAGUCCUUAGCUGUAACGUAUUAUGCAGGGAGGAGGGAUAAGAAAAUAGUAGAUGUCCACUGCAAAUGACUGUUUUCCUCCCUGGAACAUUUGCUAUGUUUGGUCAGCUGAAUUCAGAACUGAUUCAGAACUCAUAGCAGCAAAAUGCCAAUUGUGUCUCUAGAGCGAAGAUUCCAUGGAUCUUAAAAUUAAAAUCGUUCUGCUGUGGGCAGUGUUAUCUUUUCCCACUUGA
Molecule: long non-coding RNA, 1263 nt
Organism: Mus musculus (house mouse)
Lineage: Eukaryota; Metazoa; Chordata; Mammalia; Rodentia; Muridae
Product: predicted gene, 51899
Exons: 2
Source: RefSeq, a predicted model, not a curated record